This 468-nucleotide ribosomal RNA is filed under the name uncultured bacterium. Its description in RNAcentral is "partial 16S ribosomal RNA". It matches the Rfam family "Bacterial small subunit ribosomal RNA", at positions 28 to 507 of the family's 1533-position model. The record is from RNAcentral.
GACGAACGCUGGCGGCGUGCUUAACACAUGCAAGUCGAACGGAAAGACCCUGAGCUUGCGCGGUGCUCGAGUGGCGCACAGGUGAGUAACACGUGUGUAACCUGCCCUUGACUUUGGGAUAACUUCAGGAAACUGGGGCUAAUACCCGCUAGAAGCUCCUGCUCCAUGGUGGGGGUUGGAAAGUUUCGGCGGUUGGGGAUGGACUCGCGGCUUAUCAGCUUGUUGGUGGGGUAGUGGCUGACCAAGGCUUUGACGGCUAGCCGGCCUGAGAGGGUGACCGGCGACCAGGCGCCUACGGGAGGGAGCAGUCGGGAAUCUGGCGCAGUGGUCGAAAGCAUUACGCAACGAGGCGACGCGUGUGACGAAGGCCUUGCGGUCGGAAUGCCGUCCUACGGGUUAUGAACCGAUUUCGACUGUGACGAGGCGUGAGUGACGGUAACGGGUAAAGAAGCACCGGCUAACUACGUG